AUGAUAUUACCCAUACAACGGUGUUUGGAUAAUAGAUCAAGAAACAUUCGACAAUGUGCUUCCAAUGUUCUUGUUGAUAUUCGGAAUACCUCAAUCAUGUUUCGAGGUAGAAUUAACAUGGUGUUCCAAGUAGGGGUUGGAGUUGAAGAUCACAAGAAAUACUCAAGAACAAUUGCAGGAAUAGCAAGGAGCCCAAGGUAUAACCAAGACAUGAUCAAACAUGUGUUGGAAAGAAGACAAAGGGGGGUAGUCGAUGAUAACUCAAAUCAUCGUAGGUCAAGGAUGGUAUUUCUCACCAUGAAUUCAAUUAUCAUUUCAACAGAAGUCAAAAUGUUGAUGCUGAUCACGACGCAUUUGUCGAGAGGCUCUAUGAAGAUGCCAUCGAGGAGCGAUGCCAUCAAGCAACAGGAAGGAUGA
Molecule: ribosomal RNA, 417 nt
Filed under: Triticum aestivum (bread wheat)
Lineage: Eukaryota; Viridiplantae; Streptophyta; Magnoliopsida; Poales; Poaceae
Description: partial small subunit ribosomal RNA
Source: RNAcentral